UACAGAGGAUGCAAGCGUUAUCCGGAAUGAUUGGGCGUAAAGCGUCUGUAGGUGGCUUUUUAAGUCCGCCGUCAAAUCCCAGGGCUCAACUCUGGACAGGCGGUGGAAACUACCAAGCUGGAGUUCGGUAGGGGCAGAGGGAAUUUCCGGUGGAGCGGUGAAAUGCGUAGAGAUCGGAAAGAACACCAACGGCGAAAGCGCUCUGCUGGGCCGACGCUGACACUGAGGGACGAAAGCUAGGGGAGCGAAUAGG
Molecule: ribosomal RNA, 253 nt
Filed under: uncultured bacterium
Lineage: Bacteria
Description: partial 16S ribosomal RNA
Rfam family: Bacterial small subunit ribosomal RNA
Source: RNAcentral